UGGUUGAUCCUGCCAGUAGUCAUAUGCUUGUCUCAAAGAUUAAGCCAUGCAUGUCUAAGUACACACUUUGGUAAAGUGAAACCGCGAAUGGCUCAUUAAAUCAGCUACAAUUUAUUAGAUCGUACACUGUUACUUGGAUAACUGUGGGAAUUCUAGAGCUAAUACAUGCCGAGAGUCUCUGCUCUUCGGGGCAGAGCGCAGUUAUUAGACCAAAACCAGCCGUAUUCUUCGGGGUACGCUCUUUUGGUGACUCUGGAUAACCUUCAGCCGAUCGCAUGGCCUCGUGCCGGCGACGUAUCUUUCAAGUGUCUGCCCUAUCAACUUUCGAUGGUACGUGAUAUGCCUACCAUGGUGAUAACGGGUAACGGGGAAUCAGGGUUCGAUUCCGGAGAGGGAGCCUGAGAAAUGGCUACCACAUCCAAGGAUGGCAGCAGGCGCGCAAAUUACCCACUCCCAGCUUGGGGAGGUAGUGACGAAAAAUAACAAUGCGGGACUCUAAGAGGCCCCGUAAUUGGAAUGAGUACACCUUAAAUCGUUUAACGAGUAUCAAUUGGAGGGCAAGUCUGGUGCCAGCAGCCGCGGUAAUUCCAGCUCCAAUAGCGUAUAUUAAAGUUGCUGCAGUCAAAAAGCUCGUAGUUGGAUCUGGGGCUUGAGGUCGCUGUCUAUCGUUUCGGCGAUGACGGUGAUGCUCAGCUCUGCUUGCCGGUGACUGUUGCGGUGUUCUUCACUGAGCGCUGUAGCAGCACGGCACGUUUACUUUGAAAAAAUUAGAGUGCUCAAAGCGUGCUUGUCGCUUGAAUAAUGUUGCAUGGAAUAAUGGAAUAGGACCUCGGUUCUAUUUUGUUGGUUUUCGGAGCUUGAGGUAAUGAUUAAGAGGGACGAACGGGGGCAUUCGUAUUGCGGUGUUAGAGGUGAAAUUCUUGGAUCGCCGCAAGACGGACUACUGCGAAAGCAUUUGCCAAGAACGCUUUCAUUAAUUAAGAACGAAAGUCAGAGGUUCGAAGACGAUCAGACACCGUCCUAGUUCUGACCAUAAACGAUGCCGACCAGCGAUCCGUUGGUUGCUUUAUGGACCCUACGGGCAGCCUCCGGGAAACCAAAGUAUUUGGGUUCCGGGGGAAGUAUGGUUGCAAAGCUGAAACUUAAAGGAAUUGACGGAAGGGCACACCAGGAGUGGAGCCUGCGGCUUAAUUUGACCCAACACGGGAAAACUCACCCGGUCCGGACACCGUAAGGAUUGACAGACUGAUAGCUCUUUCUUGAUUCGGUGGAUGGUGGUGCAUGGCCGUUCUUAGUUGGUGGAGUGAUUUGUCUGGUUAAUUCCGAUAACGAACGAGACUCUAGCCUGCUAAGUAGUGUUGCUAUUGUUAUAUGGUUGACACUUCUUAGAGGGACAAGUGGCAUUUAGCCACGCGAAUUUGAGCAAUAACAGGUCUGUGAUGCCCUUAGAUGUCCGGGGCCGCACGCGCGCUACACUGGAGAAGUCAGCGUGUGUUAUCCAAGUCCGAAAGGACUGGGUAAUCCGUUGAACCUUCUUCGUGCUUGGGACUGUGGCUUGGAACUAUUCCACAUGAACGAGGAAUUCCUAGUAAUUGCAAGUCAUAAGCUUGCGUUGAUUACGUCCCUGCCCUUUGUACACACCGCCCGUCGCUACUACCGAUUGAAUGGUUUAGCAAGGUCCUCGGAUCGUGGCCGUAGGGGCACGCAAGUGUUUCUGCGGUUUGCGAGAAGACGACCAAACUUGGUCAUUUAGAGGAAGUAAAAGUCGUAACAAGGUU
This 1778-nucleotide ribosomal RNA is filed under the name metagenome. RNAcentral's name for it is "SSU rRNA". It matches the Rfam family "Eukaryotic small subunit ribosomal RNA". The record is from RNAcentral.